AUGCAGAUCACCUUAGGAUCUUGUUAAAAUGCAGAUUCUGGCUUAGUAGGAAUGAAUUCUGAAUUUCAAAGAAACUCCCAGGUGAUUCUAAU
Molecule: microRNA precursor, 92 nt
Filed under: Marmota monax (woodchuck)
Lineage: Eukaryota; Metazoa; Chordata; Mammalia; Rodentia; Sciuridae
Source: RNAcentral